This 251-nucleotide ribosomal RNA is filed under the name uncultured bacterium. Its description in RNAcentral is "partial 16S ribosomal RNA". It matches the Rfam family "Bacterial small subunit ribosomal RNA", at positions 524 to 776 of the family's 1533-position model. The record is from RNAcentral.
UACAGAGGGGCAAGCGUUAUUCGGAAUUAUUGGGCGUAAAGGGCGCGUAGGCGGCUUGGCAAGUGGAAGGUGAAAUCCCUCGGCUUAACCGAGGAACUGCCCUCCAAACUGCUUGGCUUGAGACCGGGAGAGGUGAGUGGAAUUCCCAGUGUAGCGGUGAAAUGCGUAGAUAUUGGGAGGAACACCAGUGGCGAAGGCGGCUCACUGGACCGGAACUGACGCUGAGGCGCGAAAGCGUGGGAGCAAACAGG